Molecule: ribosomal RNA, 254 nt
Filed under: uncultured bacterium
Lineage: Bacteria
Description: partial 16S ribosomal RNA
Rfam family: Bacterial small subunit ribosomal RNA
Source: RNAcentral
GACGAACCGUGCGAACGUUAUUCGGAAUCACUGGGCUUAAAGCGCGUGUAGGCGGAACGGCACGUCCGGUGCUGAAAUCCCUCGGCUCAACCGAGGAACUGGCCCGGAUACGACCGCUCUGGAGGAGCGUAGGGGGACCUGGAACUUCCGGUGGAGCGGUGAAAUGCGUUGAGAUCGGAAGGAACGCCCGUGGCGAAAGCGAGGUCCUGGACGCUUACUGACGCUGAGACGCGAAAGCCAGGGGAGCGAACAGG